AUUUUUCUAUAUUUAUCAAAUGCAAUGAUUAAUUUAUCGGACUGAAUUUUUCUUUGAAAUAUAUAUGAGAUAUUUAUUAUUUGAAUUGUGAACGUAAUGAAAUUCCAAGUUAAGUAUUUGUUAAGAGUUGAAAACAACAGAGGCCGGAGUCACAUUAUCGAUAAACUUUAUCGAAGUGUCACGAUAGCGGAGGUACAAGGUGAACGACCGACAACUUCCUCUUUGCUGUGAUCUGACACUUAAAAAAAAAAAAAAAAAAAAAAAAAAAAAAAAAAAAAGAAAGAAAGAAUAGAAAAGAAAAUAAAGAAGAAACAAUAAAAAAAACAAUUACGAAUGCGUGUCUCGUAGUGCAAUCAAGUAUUCCAUAUUUGAUCUCGUUUCUUUUUCAAUUUGAAUAAUCAUAUAUCUCGCGUAAAAUAAUAAUGUCGUCAUGCAAAAUCAAUUUCAUAUGCAUUUCUCUUUCUCUCUCCCUCUCCCUCUGUAUAAUGCAUCUUAUUUAAUCUUACACGUAUUUACAUUAAUAAAACGUGGCUAUUUAAAUAAAUUUUUUAUUUUAAUAUUCAUCUAUUUUAUAUCAAAUUAUCUUUCUUUAUUCAUCGAUUUUAUUUCAUCUCACACAUUAUUUAAAUGAUUAUUUAAAUCAAAAAAAAUUUUCAAUUGCAAUAUUCAACUUUCAUAGAUCAUUUUAUGUCAAAUCUUUAUUAAUACCAAAGAAACGCGUCACGAGGUAAAUGAAUUAUGAUAUGAGCAAAAAAAAAAAACAAAAAAAAACAAAAAAAACAAAAAGAAGCAAAAAAAAAAAAAGAAGAAAGAAAAACAAGAAGUACCCGAGACAUGCAAUUAGAACCAACCUUAUUGUUAUUCAGGCUCAAAGUUGUUAGAGAUGGCAUAGAAGGUAAUGUUUUUAAAUCGCGUAGCCGAUUAUUGUCCAAUAUUAAUUCCUCCAAUUUAGAGAAAUCCUUUAAUGCCGUGACCGAGGUUAAUUCAUUGUAAGAAAGAUCCAAACUUAUACAAUCACAACCAACGACAUGGACCAAACCAUUGGGAAUUUUAUGAGCUCGUUGUCCGGUGUACCAAGCCUAGAAAAAAAAAAAUAAUAAUAAUAAAGAAAAAGAAAAAGAAACUUCUUGGAAAAUUCUAUUUGACAUUUCAAAUGUUCAAUUCUUCAUGAUCUUCCUUUUCUUUUUUAGAUUCCAUUGUGUUUUUUUCUUUUUUCUUUUUUCCUCUUUUUAUUUCCCUUUUCUUUUUUAACGUACGUUCAGAUCAAUUCACGAACGAAUUUUUACCCGCUCACCGUCGAUCGUCAAUGCACUCCUAUUAAAAUCUUGUUGUUGCCUUUCUGCCGCCAUCUUACACUUCGUUCGUCGUACCCGUAGAAUAAACUGAACGCGAGAGAUUAUUUUAGUUCUAGAGACGUACGUACGUACGUACGUACGUACGCACGCAGGCACGCACGCACGACGACGACUAUGACGACAAUGACGACGACACGCGACGACGACAAUAACAACACCGUAAAGAGAAAUCCGUUUCAAAAGCGUCGAUCAUUUAUUCUUUUAAACCGGUUUAUAUUAAAAUGUCAAUAGAUUUUCAAUACAUAUCAAUAACUAGUCAACAUGGCUCGUUGGAUUUUUUUUUUUUUUUUUUUCUUUUUUUUUUAAGUAAGUUUAUUUGACACAGCCCUAUAUUAGAUACACAAGUAUAAUCUUACUUAGAAGAAUUUUUUACAUUAAUUUAAUAAAAAUAUAACUAUUAGUCAUCGUUAGAUAAAUCUCUAUAGCAAUAAAUAUAUAGAAUUUUAUAAUUAAUAUUGUAACUGGAUUAAAGUAUUCAUAAAACAAUCGAUAAUAUAUGAGGGUAAAGUAAAAAAUAGUGAAAAAAAAAAAAAGAAUUUUACCAACUAUAGAAAAAAAAAAAAAAAAAAUUGGGCUCGUCCGGGAUUUGAACCCGGGACCUCUCGCACCCUAAGCGAGAAUCAUACCCCUAGACCAACGAGCCAUGAGUUGCUGUUGAAUAUUCGAAUAUGACGGACGUGCUAAUCGGUGCUCUUUUGUAAAAAAAAAAAUAUACAAUAGAAGACCUUACAAGGAUUGUGCAAAUUGAAAAAACAGAUUUAGUUGUCGCAAGACAGAUAAUUUUUCUUUUACCACUAGUGACACUGAAUUAUUUUGCAAAUCAUACAACAAGAUAAUAAUGGUUAUGUGAUUUGGGCUCAUCCGACGACUCAAAACUGACCCAACAAAAACAAAAAAGUCAUGGCGUCAAAUCAGAAAAGGAAAUUAGAAAAGAGUGCUUCGCAUGACGAAGUAAACAAAAUACUGAAAUGGAAUGUUAAAAAUUUCGAUAAAGAAUUCAAUACUAAUAAUUAUGAUAGACUAUUUGAAAAUAAUUCGUGAAUAAUACCUAACCUGAACAUAGUAAGAAACAAAGGAACAGGACUAGACGCGAACAAAGAGAAUGAUAGGAACGAGGUUUUUCGGAAACCAAAAAAAAAAAAACAACAUCACCGAAACUCUCAGUCGGUACUCAAAGUCUAAACUAUGAGUCAGAUAAUAGAUUUGAGGCGCUAUUCGAUGACAUGAGUUUCACGAAAGAGGGCGUAGCUGAAAAGGCCAACAGCGCCACAAUGAAAAACAAAAGGCUGAAAACCCUCGAAAUUCGAAUACCCCCAUAUACAUUUUAAAAUCUAACCUAAAGGAUAUUAUUAAACUACUAACUAAUAACAAUAUUAUCAAUGAAGCUUUCUUGUUAAAACAACUAGAUAUAGAUAUGAUAAUAUUAAUAAUCAUGGAUAACGAUACACACGACAAUACAAAAAUUGCCAAAGAAUAAGUCAUGCCAGCGUUAAUUGUAAUAUGGGAUACAGAUGUGUAAAAUUUGUCCAACUCCACAAACCGGGAAAAUGCAACUUAAUUAAUUCUGUAGAGAAAGAGAAGCUGAAAUGUGUAAAUUGCGGUUAAAAUGGACAUCCAGCAUCAUUUCAUAUAGGAUGCUCAUAUAUGAAAAUGAUAGCUGACCUGAAGAAGAAAGAAAAAGAAAAAAAGAUAAAAUAGUAAUGGACAAACACAAUAAAAUUAACAAAUUCAUUGACCCAAAUAUAUCAUACGUAAACAUAGUGAUGACCAAAGAAAAAAAAAAGUAGUAUAACAGAACACAACAACCAGAGAGAUCAGUCAAUAACACACCUCAGGCAAUGCACCAGUAUAGUCAUCAUAAUACAAUUCAGCAUCAUGAAAAUAAUGUCAAUAACGAAAACAAUUACAAUAGCAUAAACCAAAUACUAGCUAUGUUUAAUGAUAAUUUGAAGGAAAUAAAAGAGCAACUUAUUGAAUUGAAUAACAAAAUUAUUCAAAACACAAAGGGAAUCAACUACAUGUCACAAUGGCAGAUAGAAUAAGGAUAAAUACCAAAAUAAAUAACAUACUGAAAAUGUCCGCUAUAAAUGUAAACUCUCUACAUAAAUAUAAUCUUACUUAAAAGACUUUUAACAUUAUUUUAUUAUAAAUAUAGUUAUAAGCUAUCUGCAGAUAAAUCUCCAUAGCAAUCAAUAACAUAGAAUUUUAAUUAAUAUUAUAACUGUGUAUAUAAUGUUCAUUAAACAAUCAGAUAUAUAAAUAUAAAAUAGUGGAUAAAAUAAAAAAUAGUGACUAUAAAAAAAUUUUUACCAACUCUAGCAAUUAUGAUAACUAAUCUACAGGGGGGAGGGUAUAUUUACAAUUAGAGCAUAUAUACAUUAUGUACAACUAAACUAUACGUUUUAAGUCUC
This is a long non-coding RNA of Vespa velutina, 3766 nucleotides long. RefSeq lists it as uncharacterized. The transcript is spliced from 2 exons. The record is from RefSeq and is a predicted model, not a curated record. NCBI's taxonomy places the organism in Eukaryota, Metazoa, Arthropoda, Insecta, Hymenoptera, Vespidae.